This is a long non-coding RNA of Chenopodium quinoa (quinoa), 708 nucleotides long. RefSeq lists it as uncharacterized. The record is from RefSeq and is a predicted model, not a curated record. The transcript has 6 exons. Lineage: Eukaryota; Viridiplantae; Streptophyta; Magnoliopsida; Caryophyllales; Amaranthaceae.
AUUGCAGCUCAUUGCAUCAAGCGGAUAAAGGACAAUUAUGAAUUCAAAUUCAACAGAUAGCUUAGAUUGCUGGAAUAGUUUGAAGAGCGGAACAAAAGAAGAGAGUAUAUAUUUUUUUCAGAUUUCUGAGCUCUGGAACCAUUGAAGCCCUUAAGAAAUGUGACGCUGAUAGCAUCAUGUGGUCUACAAGUAGUAUUAGACAAUGGCAUUGCUCGAGUGACAAUAUCUAAACCACGAGAAAUUGUUACUGGACUAGCUUAUAAUGGCAUUGACAAUUUGCUUGAAUCUCGAAAUCUUGAGGACCAUAGAAGCAACAACUUUUCAGGUGAUUAUGUUACAUGAUGAUCAGGUGGAAGUUUUCUUUUGUAGACAGUGGGAUCCUUCACUCAAGGGCAAGUUAUUCCCAUUGAAUAUUGAUAAAAGGUCUAUAAUGCUUCGUGGCUCAUCCAGGUCAUAUACCUAUGCAAUCUAUGAGCAUAUGAAAGAUUGACCGGGCUUCAGCUUGGGUGAAACUAAGGUCACAUUCAAGCUCAAUAAACGGUGGUAUAAAGAAACUGAUUUCUUUGGACAGGUUUCACGGCAAACCAAAUUAAUUAGAAGAAAUUUAGGCAACAAAGCAUGAUAUGUUUAGUCCUGAGGCUGUUCUGUUGACAAGCCCUGUUAAACCAAACAUUAAAGGAGAGAAGAAUCAACCAAAGUAGCAGUGAC